Molecule: ribosomal RNA, 806 nt
Filed under: uncultured bacterium
Lineage: Bacteria
Description: bacterial SSU rRNA
Rfam family: Bacterial small subunit ribosomal RNA
Source: RNAcentral
AGAGUUUGAUCAUGGCUCAGAACGAACGUUAGCGGCGCGCUUAACACAUGCAAGUCGUGCGAGAAAGGGGUAACCCCGGUAAAGCGGCGCACGGGUGAGUAACACGUAGGUAAUCUGCCCCCAGGUGGUGGAUAACCUUCCGAAAGGAGGGCUAAUACAGCAUGAGACCACGGUCCCGCAAGGGAUUGAGGUCAAAGCCGGCCUCUUCAUGAAAGCUGGCGCCAGGGGAUGAGCCUGCGGCCCAUCAGCUUGUUGGUAGGGUAACGGCCUACCAAGGCGAAGACGGGUAGCUGGUCUGAGAGGAUGAUCAGCCACACUGGAACUGAGACACGGUCCAGACUCCUACGGGAGGCAGCAGUGGGGAAUCUUGCGCAAUGGGCGAAAGCCUGACGCAGCGACGCCGCGUGAGUGAUGAAGGCCUUCGGGUUGUAAAGCUCUGUGGAGAGGGACGAAUAAGUCGUGGCUAACAUCCACGAUGAUGACGGUACUUCUUUAGCAAGCACCGGCUAACUCUGUGCCAGCAGCCGCGGUAAGACAGAGGGUGCAAACGUUGUUCGGAAUUACUGGGCGUAAAGCGCGUGUAGGCUGCUUCAUAAGUCGGGUGUGAAAGCCCUGGGCUCAACCUAGGAAGUGCACUCGAAACUGCGAAGCUUGAGUCCUGGAGAGGAAGGCGGAAUUCUCGGUGUAGAGGUGAAAUUCGUAGAUAUCGAGAGGAACACCGGUGGCGAAGGCGGCCUUCUGGACAGUGACUGACGCUGAGACGCGAAAGCGUGGGGAGCAAACAAGAUUAGAUACCCUAGUAGUCC